GGGGUUCUGAGAAGGUUUUGGGAGGUUCUGAGGGGUUCUGGGGGGGUUCUGAGAAGGUUUUGGGAGGUUCUGAGAAGGUUUUGGGGGGUUCUGAGAAGGUUUUGUGGGGAUCUGAGGAGGUUUGGGCAGAUUUUGGGACAUCCCGAGGGUGACACAGAUGAUGCAGGUGACCCUCAGGUGACCCCCAGGUGUCCCCCAGGUGCGG
Long non-coding RNA from Poecile atricapillus (Black-capped chickadee), 205 nucleotides. RefSeq lists it as uncharacterized. The transcript has 4 exons. The record is from RefSeq and is a predicted model, not a curated record. NCBI's taxonomy places the organism in Eukaryota, Metazoa, Chordata, Aves, Passeriformes, Paridae.